UGUUGCUGGGGGCGCCGUCUGGCUGAGAGAGAUUUUGAACUCGACCCUUUGAACUUGAUGUGGUUAGUACCACCGUAGGGAAGCAAAUUU
Molecule: non-coding RNA, 90 nt
Filed under: uncultured Catenibacillus sp.
Lineage: Bacteria; Bacillati; Bacillota; Clostridia; Lachnospirales; Lachnospiraceae
Description: TPP riboswitch (THI element)
Rfam family: TPP riboswitch aptamer (THI element)
About the family: Vitamin B(1) in its active form thiamin pyrophosphate (TPP) is an essential coenzyme that is synthesised by coupling of pyrimidine and thiazole moieties in bacteria. The previously detected thiamin-regulatory element, thi box was extended, resulting in a new, highly conserved RNA secondary structure, the THI element, which is widely distributed in eubacteria and also occurs in some archaea.
Source: RNAcentral